This is a long non-coding RNA of Panicum virgatum (switchgrass), 564 nucleotides long. RefSeq lists it as uncharacterized. The transcript has 2 exons. The record is from RefSeq and is a predicted model, not a curated record. NCBI's taxonomy places the organism in Eukaryota, Viridiplantae, Streptophyta, Magnoliopsida, Poales, Poaceae.
GACACACCCAUCCCUUCGAAUCUAUCUGCUCCAAUCUACACUCUUCCACUGCUGGUCGGCCAGCAGCAAUGCUUCCUGCAAGACCGGCGGCGGCACACUCCUACAGGCUCUCCAAGCGACCAAUCUUGGUGAUUUCAGUAGCAAUAGGUAGAAGAUGGAGACCCCUGAAUUCCUUAGUGACAUUUUCUCGCAGGAUCAAGCCGAUCUUUCAUGUAUUGCUGAUGGGUAAGUUUUCUGUCAUUUCCCCCUAGAGUUAGAGCAAACUAUGGGCUUCUAUUUGGUAAAUAAACUGUUUCGAGUUGUGCCAUUGUUCCGUAGUCCUACAAACUUGCUGUGCGUAUAGGUGCUGCUUACGUGAAGUUUAAUGAUGAUGGCACUCGCGGGUAUUGUAAUGCAUGCAACAUUACUAAGAUUUUAGACAGACAUAGCACAAAUUGGAGUGAUUUGCUAUUUGACAUUGGUACUGAAAUUAAACUUGGCCAUAAACACAAGUUGUGUGUCACCUUUUGGAACAAAAUGAGUCGGCUUUAUGAAGAAAUUAAUUCUUCAAGCAAUUGACAUGUA